Corvus hawaiiensis (hawaiian crow) is the source of this 590-nucleotide long non-coding RNA. RefSeq lists it as uncharacterized. Lineage: Eukaryota; Metazoa; Chordata; Aves; Passeriformes; Corvidae. The record is from RefSeq and is a predicted model, not a curated record. The transcript has 2 exons.
GUUGGAUAAAAAUGUUUUGACUUGAUGUUGCUUGUGAGCAAGGAAAAUUGGCAGUGAAGAAGCGUCUCAGCAAAUAACUGAGAUGCUGCACCUGGAGAAAGAAGCUUGCUGGGUGAUUACAAUAGGUCUGCAAAGGAGGAGAACAGGAUGGAGGACUGGGCUAGGAGAAGGAGAAGCUCUGAUGGAUUUGGAAAGACAUCGACAAGGGACUACUCCAUCUGAACUGAAAGGACUGGUCUAUCUUGGUAAAGAGAGUCUUUGUGAUACAAAGUCUGGAUGUGCAGCAUGAGCCAGGACAGCACUAGGCAGGUGAAAGCAGUGUAGGAGCCCCACAGCUGGGACUUCUGUUAGCAUGGCUGGCAAGCCUUUUCUGAUGUGGAAGGUUUGAGUCUUCUCUCACUUAGGCCAAGAAGUAAUGUCUGUGACUGCUGCACUUCAGCUGGAGACAUGCUAUUAUUUCCCCACAAAAUGACAAAACUCAUGUUUAUUACCAGCUAUACAGGUGUGUAAACCUUUCACACUUUUAUCUGUCAAAUUCUGCUGGGUUCCUUGCCUUUGUUGUGAUUGAAUAUACUAUUAUUUCCCCUUUA